Molecule: long non-coding RNA, 667 nt
Filed under: Monodelphis domestica (gray short-tailed opossum)
Lineage: Eukaryota; Metazoa; Chordata; Mammalia; Didelphimorphia; Didelphidae
Description: lncRNA (ENSMODG00000048534.1)
Source: RNAcentral
AAGUGCAUAUGAAUUUGAAAUCACCCCUGAGAGAAGCUAGGAAAGGUCAUAGAAACUCACAAUGGAUAGAAGCAAAAGAACUCAUGUAAUGAAAUGGUAUCACAUUCACGUGGGGAAUGAGAGGAGGGGUUCUGGCAGCGAGAAAAGACUUGGAAGAGGACAUUAAAGGUCUUUCUAAGCACUUCCCAUGAGAACAAAGCCAUACUUUAGCUAGAACCCAACAAGAAGCAGUCAGAUAGAUCAAAGAGUGCUGUGGUAGCAGUGUUGUAUUUGCUAAACAAAGGUCAGAUAGUCCCUUGUCUUUUUACUAAUGACCAACACAAGUGAUUGAAGUGACUCAAGAUCAUUGGCUUGGCAGAUCCUAUUGGUGGACAAUUGUCAAUAUGAAGAGUAUAAGGGACAAAGAAAUCACAGAAAACCAUCCCUGGAAUGGAGUGCAAAGGCCAUGUUUUCUAAACUGUGUCCUCUCUACAGUAAACCUAAUAAGUACUCAUCUUACUUCUUUAAGAUCUGUCAUGAGGGAAUAACUCCUUACUACUGGAGAGAGCCUAUUCCACUUUUUGAAAGCUCUUAUUGUUGUGACCUUCUGAAAUCUCUCCAUAUUAAGAGUCCCUGCUGGAAGGUACUGGAUCAAUACCAUCCCUUGCCAGUGCCAAGGGUAACAUGA